This 292-nucleotide ribosomal RNA is filed under the name uncultured bacterium. RNAcentral describes it as "partial 16S ribosomal RNA". It matches the Rfam family "Bacterial small subunit ribosomal RNA", at positions 505 to 796 of the family's 1533-position model. The record is from RNAcentral.
GUGCCAGCAGCCGCGGUAAUACGGGGGGUGCGAGCGUUAUUCGGAAUUACUGGGCGUAAAGAGCGCGUAGGCGGUCUUUUAAGUCAGGUGUGAAAGCCCGGGGCUCAACCCCGGAAGUGCACUUGAAACUAAGAGACUUGAGUAUGGGAGAGGGAAGUGGAAUUCCUGGUGUAGCGGUGAAAUGCGUAGAUAUCAGGAGGAACAUCAGUGGCGAAGGCGACUUCCUGGACCAAUACUGACGCUGAGGCGCGAAGGCGUGGGGAGCAAACAGGAUUAGAUACCCGGGUAGUCC